This 73-nucleotide transfer RNA is filed under the name Nematostella vectensis (starlet sea anemone). It matches the Rfam family "tRNA". Rfam says of the family: Transfer RNA (tRNA) molecules are approximately 80 nucleotides in length. Their secondary structure includes four short double-helical elements and three loops (D, anti-codon, and T loops). Lineage: Eukaryota; Metazoa; Cnidaria; Anthozoa; Actiniaria; Edwardsiidae. The record is from Rfam by way of RNAcentral.
GUUUCCGUAGUGUAGUGGUUAUCACGUUUGCCUAACACGCAGAAGGUCCCCAGUUCGAGCCUGUGCGGAAACA